GACUCUUGAGUGGCUUUACAAAGGUAUGCAAACAAAGUGCUGGAUAAGGAUUUAACUUUUCAAUAUAAGAAUAGCAGAGAGCAUCAAUCUUAACCUAUCUGAAAUUUCCUUCACUUUUUAAAAAUUCUUUUAGAUAAAGGAGAUAAAUCUUUUUGCUGUUUCCAAGACCCCUCCUACUUAAUGAAUCUGUAGUGUUUCUUCAAAGAAUAGGAAAUAUCUCAGACUUCCAGGUUAAUUUAGGUAAGGAGUGUUUUUAGGGUU
This 261-nucleotide long non-coding RNA is filed under the name Bos taurus (domestic cattle). RNAcentral describes it as "long non-coding RNA NONBTAT018040". Lineage: Eukaryota; Metazoa; Chordata; Mammalia; Artiodactyla; Bovidae. The record is from RNAcentral.